UACGUAGGGUGCAAGCGUUAAUCGGAAUUACUGGGCGUAAAGCGUGCGUAGGCGGUUCUCCAAGUCCGUUGUGAAAGCCCCGGGCUCAACCUGGGAAUGGCAGUGGAAACUGGGGGACUGGAAUCUGGCAGAGGGGGGUGGAAUGCCGCGUGUAGCAGUGAAAUGCGUAGAGAUGCGGCGGAACACCGAUGGCGAAGGCAGCCCCCUGGGCUGAGAUUGACGCUCAGGCACGAAAGCGUGGGGAGCAAACAGG
This 253-nucleotide ribosomal RNA is filed under the name uncultured bacterium. Its description in RNAcentral is "partial 16S ribosomal RNA". It matches the Rfam family "Bacterial small subunit ribosomal RNA", at positions 524 to 776 of the family's 1533-position model. The record is from RNAcentral.